UUUCAUUCAAACUUUUAUAUGUUUACACUGCACUUGGCCCUUCUGAUCUGAUGGAGAACAAUUUACCUCCCAAGCACUAAUAUCACCACCAGACGUCGACACUGUACAUUUGCCGUCGUAAAUAUAAACAAAUCAGACUAUAUAACGCACACCAACAAACCACCGCAUUCGUGAAACUGAAAACGUUUUUUUAUUACAGUCAGUUUGGCACUGACUCAGUUUUAAAAACGAAUUCGCUAUUAGCUUUGACGGAAAGCAGCGAUCGUAAAGCAAUUCAUAACAAGUGUUUUUUUUGUUUUGCUACAUUUUGUUUGAAAAUAUGUCAAUAAUACGUGAGAUAGAGGAGUUAGUGAACCAUUAAAUUUAAAAUAACGACAACUCUAUGGCUCGAUGUGUGGCACCCGGAUGCGUGAGUGUUUAGUCAUUGAUACCCUGGUUCGAGUCCAACUCGAAUUAUGAAAACAUAUCCCGCAAAUUAUCAUUCCAUCGAUCCCCAAGGGAUGUGACUAUUCGGAAGAAAUGGCUUCGAUUCUUUGGACAGGACCUAAACAGCAAUACUAAACACAUGUACAUUUGCUCGCAUCACUUCAAUCCAGAUUGUUUCAUUCAUACCGAUGGCUUGGAAGUACAAUACUGAUACAAACAGCUGUUCCUACUGUCAGAAAGGCCAACGAUUCUCAUGCCUCGGGAAAUCAAAACGGACGGCUCGCCGAAAGGUCUUGAUUGACAUCAAGCAACAGCAACAUCCGCGGAGUUGGUCCAGUUUUCUAAUGGGACGAAACAUGACUCUCCCGAGAGGGAUAUUUCGACAAAUGAAAUCGGGAGCAGCACUAUCAACAUCUCUAAUGAAAAACCUAGUGAUUCUGCUAGUUCUGAAACCUUAAUUCAAGCACUGCAGUAGGAGGUAUCGGAGAGCUUCAUGAAGCUAAACUCUGAAUUACCGAACCACAAUUUCCCCUAGGUUUUGAUCUAAAUAGAUUAUCUUUACGCAGCAAUGAAUAAAUGUAUACAUUUAGCUAAAAUACAAAAGAAAUAAACUUAU
This is a long non-coding RNA of Toxorhynchites rutilus septentrionalis, 1042 nucleotides long. RefSeq lists it as uncharacterized. The transcript has 3 exons. NCBI's taxonomy places the organism in Eukaryota, Metazoa, Arthropoda, Insecta, Diptera, Culicidae. The record is from RefSeq and is a predicted model, not a curated record.